AUCCUUUAAGUAUAAAUGAAGUACGUUUGCCUUCCAAGCAAGAAGAUUAAUUAAUUUUAAAAAGGAUA
RNAcentral lists this transfer RNA (68 nucleotides) under Bithynia leachii. Its description in RNAcentral is "tRNA-Gly". Lineage: Eukaryota; Metazoa; Mollusca; Gastropoda; Littorinimorpha; Bithyniidae. The record is from RNAcentral.